Molecule: long non-coding RNA, 573 nt
Organism: Alosa sapidissima (American shad)
Lineage: Eukaryota; Metazoa; Chordata; Actinopteri; Clupeiformes; Clupeidae
Exons: 3
Source: RefSeq, a predicted model, not a curated record
UUUAAUCCAAAGUAUAACUUCUGCACACAGUGACAUAUUUUUCACUGUAUCUCAUCUGAGACACUCAGAGCACACAGACGUAUAGAGCACUGACAUGCACUUCUUUGGUCUUAUUUUCUUGGGAAACUCUAAUGUCCUCAAGAGUGUUUAAGACACACAAGCAACACACUCCUAUCUAAGGCUUCUUCCACUGACUCUAAAUCUGAUCACCAAUCUCUGGCAUCUCAUCUGGCUCUCCGUGUUUAUAUCUUUCCAUUGCUUUCAAAGCCAGAUCAGCUAUCUCUCACUAUAUUAGCAAUGAAUGGUGAAAGCCAAGUGUUCAGAUGAUACAGCAAGCAAGGACAACGUCAGUUCCAAACCCAAUGUCAAAAUGAAACCGAACAAUGCAAAACAAAAUGUCCCACUUCUUGUGAAAGACAACUGAGGAAAGUAAGUGAAGAUGGUGCUUGUUCUAAUACUCAGCUCAGGAUCUAUUAAAAAGAGUCAAUUCAGCUCCACAUUAAAGCAACACAAUGCAGUACUUUCACCUUACAAUAAUGCCUUCAAACUCAUUCUGAUGCUACACUGACUUGU